RNAcentral lists this long non-coding RNA (405 nucleotides) under Aquila chrysaetos chrysaetos. RNAcentral describes it as "lncRNA (ENSACCG00020004412.1)". Lineage: Eukaryota; Metazoa; Chordata; Aves; Accipitriformes; Accipitridae. The record is from RNAcentral.
GCGCCAGCACCUGGGACCGCCCCUCCUGUACACGGGGGCCGGUGCUGCGCCGAUGUCCCCGGCGCGCCCACGGGCGCGCCGGGGACAUCGGCGCAGCACCGGCCCCCGUGUACAGGAGGGGGGUUGCAGUGCCCGCCGGUGCUUCCCCUCCCUGUCCCCUGGAACGAGGAAGCGGCUCCGGCCACCUUCAGCCGUCACUCGGCAGUGUAGUUCUCCGCUGGUACCAUCCUCUCGCCCUGCAUCCCCGGGUGCAGGGACAUUUCACCACCCGGGGAUUGAAGGUGCUGGCUCUGGACAUGGCUGGGCAGAGAGGAGGGCUGCCCCUGCCCCUGCUGCUGCUGAGCCUUGCCGUGCUGGACUUCACGCUAGGUUUGUCUGACCCUCCACGGAUGGGUGAAGGUGGUG